This 379-nucleotide long non-coding RNA is filed under the name Phoenix dactylifera (date palm). RNAcentral's name for it is "long non-coding RNA (PDAC_LNC014988)". The record is from RNAcentral. Lineage: Eukaryota; Viridiplantae; Streptophyta; Magnoliopsida; Arecales; Arecaceae.
AGCAGUUUGAUCGAGCUCAACUUGCUGCAACACAAUUGUGAGCAUGAUAGUAACAGAUCUCAAAUGUUAGAACCUUUGAUCUUGGCAUUUUUAUAAAUCUCACUUUAAGCCAGACAAUGCUCGACUUUGAGUUGAUUUGUUUGUUUUUUUUUUUUUUUGAACAAUUGCCCAAGAGUUUAAUUAUCUUUGUUAUAGUUAUCGUGAGUGAUAUGGCUCGGAUUUGCUGCAUGUUAAAAUCACGCUAGCCCACUCAGCUGACCAAUGGCUAGGUGCACUACAAAAGAAAGGAUAUCUCCCGGCUCUACCGACGCUUUUAAGCGUCGGCGAAGUUCCAGCCCACGCACCCCAAAGCGUGGGUCAGACGUCGAGCAGGUGGGCG